UACAGGUGCACUUCACCAUGCCAGGCUAUCAUAAUGCCUUCUGCCACUGGCAUCCAUGGGCUAAAAUGUUCAGUUAGCAUGGGGAGAAGCUAAGGCAGCAGAAAAGAGAGCAUUGAAGAGGGGCUUUAUCAGGUCCCAUGGAAUCAGAGCCUGAACUGCAGACUCCUGUGAAGAGGGGAGUGAGGUGUUAUGGACCAGGCUACAUGGGCAAUGACCAAACAGACUCCGAGUUGCCCUGAGACGCCCUGUCAUGUUAAGAAAUGCUUCUCCCAUGGGAGCACCCCGCCUCUACCAUCAACAAUUGCUUAGCAUAGCAUGUUUGGCAACACAAAAUGGCAGUUGUUAUACAAUGUAAAGUUGCUCUCUUUUUGGAUCCCAUUUUUCUUGGACGAGGUACCCCAUUCGAGAAUGAUUAUCUAGAUGUUAGUAACCAUUCUUUAACUUGUACUCAAUUAGGGUCAUUUUUGACCCACUUCCUCUUCUGCUUACGAUUUUAGAUCUCAUGACAUUUGUUUAUGGUUUUGAAUCAUAGCAAUAGCCACUUAUGAUUAAUGUGGUUUUGGAUUAUAAAAGGUGUGCUCAAACCCCAACCCCAGGAGGGGGUCGAAGGGUGGAGACUUGCAGCCUGCCCUUUGACCUGCCAGCUGGUGACUCCAUGAUUUAUUGCCAUAACAGAGGGAUGGAGAUAAGAAAAAGCAGGAAGGGAGGGAAGUUACUCAGGGAUAUGAUUUAACUGAAGACUAGCUUCAUCUAAGUUGUAGAAUGUAUUGCCAUGAAAGAAUAAAAGAAAUUGAAGUUAAAAUGUAAAGGACCAGGUUUUGUAAAGUUUCCAAGCUGCACUCAGAGCCUGAAAUUCCUGUGGCAGUUAAGACAAUUCCCGGAACUGCCUGUUAGAUGUGUGUCAAAAUCUUCCCCUGACCACCUAGUUACUAAAUCACCCCUUCCCAGAAACCAUGCAGCUCAGCAC
Molecule: long non-coding RNA, 967 nt
Filed under: Marmota monax (woodchuck)
Lineage: Eukaryota; Metazoa; Chordata; Mammalia; Rodentia; Sciuridae
Source: RNAcentral